UGGGUAGGAUAGAGGCCUACCAUGGUGAUGACGGGUAACGGGGAAUAAGGGUUCGAUUCCGGAGAGAGGGCCUGAGAAACGGCCCUCAGUCCUAAGGGACGCAGCAGGCGCGCAAAUUAUCCCAUCCCGACACGGGGAGAUAGUGACAAUAAAUAACAAUAUAGGGCUCUUUUGGGUCCUAUAAUUGGAAUGAGUACAAUUUAAAUCCCUUAACGAGGAUCAAUUGGAGGGCAAGUCUGGUGCCAGCAGCCGCGGUAAUUCCAGCUCCAAUGGCGUAUAUUAAAGUUGUUGCCGUUAAAAAGCUCGUAGUCGAACUUCGGCCUCUGCCGCCCGGUCCGCCUAAUUGGGUGUGUACUGGAGCGGUGGAGGCUUACCUCGUGGUGAACGGCCAUGCCCUUUACUGGGUGUGGUCGGGAACCAUGACUUUUACUGUGAAAAAAUUAGAGUGUUCAAAGCAGGCUUACGCCCGAAUACAUUAGCAUGGAAUAAUAAAAUAGGACGUGCGGUCCUAUUUUGUUGGUUUCUAGGAUCGCCGUAAUGAUUAAUAGGGAUAGUUGGGGGCAUUCGUAUUCAAUUGUCAGAGGUGAAAUUCUUGGAUUUGUUGAAGACGAACUACUGCGAAAGCAUUUGCCAAGGAUGUUUUCAUUGAUCAAGAACGAAGGUUAGGGGAUCGAAAACGAUCAGAUACCGUUGUAGUCUUAACAGUAAACGAUGCCGACUAGGGAUCGGAUGAGGUUUUUAAUGACUCAUUCGGCACCUGAAGAGAAAUCUUUAA
This 775-nucleotide ribosomal RNA is filed under the name uncultured Basidiomycota. RNAcentral's name for it is "SSU rRNA". It matches the Rfam family "Eukaryotic small subunit ribosomal RNA", at positions 325 to 1102 of the family's 1831-position model. The record is from RNAcentral. Lineage: Eukaryota; Fungi; Basidiomycota.